Molecule: transfer RNA, 71 nt
Filed under: Phrynops hilarii (snake-necked turtle)
Lineage: Eukaryota; Metazoa; Chordata; Testudines; Chelidae
Description: tRNA-His
Rfam family: tRNA
About the family: Transfer RNA (tRNA) molecules are approximately 80 nucleotides in length. Their secondary structure includes four short double-helical elements and three loops (D, anti-codon, and T loops). Further hydrogen bonds mediate the characteristic L-shaped molecular structure. tRNAs have two regions of fundamental functional importance: the anti-codon, which is responsible for specific mRNA codon recognition, and the 3' end, to which the tRNAs corresponding amino acid is attached (by aminoacyl-tRNA synthetases). tRNAs cope with the degeneracy of the genetic code in two manners: having more than one tRNA (with a specific anti-codon) for a particular amino acid; and 'wobble' base-pairing, i.e. permitting non-standard base-pairing at the 3rd anti-codon position.
Source: RNAcentral
GUCAAUAUAGUUUUAAACCAAACAUUAGAUUGUGAAUCUAAGAAUAGAAGUUAAAACCUUCUUAUAGACCG